This 1386-nucleotide unclassified non-coding RNA is filed under the name Hevea brasiliensis (rubber tree). The record is from RNAcentral. Lineage: Eukaryota; Viridiplantae; Streptophyta; Magnoliopsida; Malpighiales; Euphorbiaceae.
GGGAGUUACUGCUCAAAACUUGCUGUUCUAUUUUCUAGUUUUAUCUUCAAUUAAUGGAAGAAAAAAAAAUUGAGAGUAAUAAAUAAGAAUGGGAAUUCGCUCAUCUUUCCAUAGGAUAUGAGUUCGUAAUUAUCUAUAACUAUUAAUGUCUGUAGUGCAUAGCUUGGGAACUUUUACAAUAAAUGGAAUAUACAAAAUUAUGAAAAAUCAUACAUUACCAAGGUCUUGAAAGUGGUUUUUGGUUUUGUUUUGUUUUGGGUUACAAUUAUAGAUUGACCAAAAAAGCAAGGACAUGGGCGUGGUGGAUGAGAUAGAUAAUAAUAUGGUUUAUAGGAAUUCUCUUCCCAUGGCAAACUAUAUUGACAUGAAUACUAAGUGCAAUUUGUAUUAUAGAUUCAAAUUGGCUUCAAGAAGUUUCUUCUUUUCUAUUUCUGGUUGGAUGGCUGGUGUUCAGCUGUAACUCAUCCAUUCAAUCUCCUUGAAGUUUGUGUUGGAUGGAUGAUGAAGAAUUAGCACUAUAAAGGGUGGUGAGAGUCUGAAAUUUUCUUGUCCUCUUAUAGAGUUAGGAACAUGAGAAAUUGAAGAAAGAUAGUAGAAAUUCUAUUGAAAGAUAAAUGGCAGAACAGCCUUCUCAACUCGGUACAUAAGUAUCAAAAUUAGUAUCUCCUUUCGUCCCCUGACCUGGAACAAGUGAAAAAAAAAAAAAUAAUAACAUAUAAGAACCAAACCAGGAGAUAUUCUCCCAGACUAGAAAAUGCCCUAGCUCCAACUUAUAGCUGAAAAAUUAAAGAUAUAAAUUCCUUGCAUUCUCUGCUUUGGUAUCCUUUAUUUAUUCUUGUACUGAUGCCCCUUUCUGUUAGCAUCUCCAGGUGGCAGUGUUUCCCUAAUUCCCUCCAACAGAAAGAAAUUCUCUUUGGAAGCAUCCAAAUGCUUGCUUCCUGAUUCUUUUCCCUUAUCUUCUAUUCCUCCUGUAGUAAACUCUUAAUUGCUUUGGGCCUGUAUCCACUAUUCUCGGGCUUAGGCUGAGUUGCUAUCAUCCUCUAUGUGCCUUUUGGAAACUUUGCACUCUUUGGCCUCAAGUGGAUGCUUCAGUGAAAUUCACUAAGUGAAUACACUUUGAUGAGCCGCUCAUGCCUGGUAGUGCAAGGGAAAACCCCAUUGCUUCUAUGCACUUUGAUGGUCAUUUUUCAACAGGGAAGGAUAUAGAAAUUUUCGUUAGCGGGGGCAUUAUGGAUACAUGUAAAUUUAGAUAUAUAUAAUUUUUUUCAAUCAUGAAAUAAGACAUGAGAUAUGUGGUAGGUUCCAUCUAUUUUGCGUGUUGAGUGCACAUACUUUUAUUGUUGGUCCAUCAUAAAUCGGAUCUAGGCAAAUUAUAUCCAUAAAUUU